Molecule: long non-coding RNA, 569 nt
Organism: Zingiber officinale
Lineage: Eukaryota; Viridiplantae; Streptophyta; Magnoliopsida; Zingiberales; Zingiberaceae
Exons: 3
Source: RefSeq, a predicted model, not a curated record
CCGUCGCUGAACCCGUGCCCUAACUCAUCUCCUUCACCCGCACGUCUCCCCUCCCGAUUCUUCUUCCCCUCCUCUUCAUCUCUGCCGAACCCGAGCCCUAGAUCUUCCCCUUCCUCUCGGAUCGACACUGAUCCGCCGCCUGCUUUCCCCGAUCCUUUGCUGUCACCACCGAUCGUCUUCCUCUCGAUCUCACGGUGCCACAUUUUCCCUCUGCCCUACCGUCGACAACCGAUCAUUCUUCCUUGAUUCUUCUUGCUGUCGGUGUGGCCCUAGCCGUGCCCUGGUUUCCUGGUGUCGCUCCUCUUCAGCGUCGCCGACCAUGAAGCUCCGACGCCGACAGCUGCGAGUUUGAUCGUGAAUGCCGAGUUUCCACCUCACCCGUGCCCUAGAUCGCCGGUGUGAGGAGGUGUUCGGGGAUUCGAGGAAGCCACAGGUACCGAUAGCUACAUCUUUUUUCGGUAGCAAACUCAUCGAGCUGUGGAUCAAUUAGGGUUGUGAGAUUGAGGACUUUGAUUCGAGACGACAUCUUGAUGUGGGGUCUAUUUCGGAUAUGAUCUUUUAUUUUUAAG